RNAcentral lists this ribosomal RNA (265 nucleotides) under uncultured bacterium. RNAcentral describes it as "partial 16S ribosomal RNA". It matches the Rfam family "Bacterial small subunit ribosomal RNA", at positions 88 to 354 of the family's 1533-position model. The record is from RNAcentral.
UCGGCGACCGGCGCACGGGUGAGUAACACGUAUGCAACCUGCCCUCUUCAGGGGGACAACCUUCCGAAAGGGAGGCUAAUCCCGCGUAUAUCGGUUUCGGGCAUCCGAGAUCGAGGAAAGAUUCAUCGGAAGAGGAUGGGCAUGCGGCGCAUUAGCUAGACGGCGGGGUAACGGCCCACCGUGGCGACGAUGCGUAGGGGUUCUGAGAGGAAGGUCCCCCACACUGGUACUGAGACACGGCCCAGACUCCUACGGAAGGCAGCAG